UACGGAGGUCCCAAGCGUUGUUCGGAUUCACUGGGCGUAAAGGGUGCGUAGGUGGUGAGGUAAGUCGGAUGUGAAAUCUCCGAGCUCAACUCGGAAAUGGCAUUGGAAACUACCUUGCUCGAGGGUUGGAGGGGGGACUGGAAUUCCUGGUGUAGCGGUGAAAUGCGCAGAUAUCAGGAAGAACACCCGUGGCGAAGGCGGUUCUCUGGGACGGUACUGACGCUGAGACGCGAAAGCGUGGGGAGCGAACAGG
This 253-nucleotide ribosomal RNA is filed under the name uncultured bacterium. RNAcentral describes it as "partial 16S ribosomal RNA". It matches the Rfam family "Bacterial small subunit ribosomal RNA", at positions 524 to 776 of the family's 1533-position model. The record is from RNAcentral.